GGCCUCACAAGGGCAGAGUAGAGAAGGACAAUCACUGCCCUCUCCCUGCUGGCCACCCCUCUUCUGAUGGAGCCCCGGACACCAUUGGCCUUCCAGGCUGCAAGCACACUGCUGGCUCGUGUUAAGUUUUUCACCAACCAAGAACCCUAAGACCUUCUCAGGAGGGCUACUCUCAAGUUCUUCUAGUCUGUAUACAUAUUUGGGAUUUCCCUAACCCAAGUGCAACACCUUGUACUUUGCUUUCUUGAACCUCAUUAAGGCUCACAUGGGCUCACUUUUAAGCCUGUCUAGGUCCCUCUGGAAGGCACCUCUUCCAUCUGUCAUUAUCAGCCACAACGCUCAGCUUGGUGUCGUUAGUAAACUUGCUGAGGUGCACUCAAUCCCAUCAUUUAUGUCAUUGAUAAAGAUAUCAAAGAGUACCAUUCCCAAGACGGACCCCUGGGGCACAUUUCCAGCCUCCACCUGGACACAGAGCUAUUGACAACAAUCCCUGGCUGCGAUCUUCCAACCGAAGUCCUUAUCCACUGAAGUGUCCACCCUUCAAACCCAUAUCUCUCCAAUUUAGAGAACGUCAUCAACCUCUAGGAACAGAAAUAACCUUAUUGUACCACACCAAAUCGUAUUUCAGGUGGCAAAUAAACCUGUGAAACUCUUUGCUCCUACUAAUGGGGUAAUACAUAUCAGUAGGAAGGGGUAUGCAAGUAGCAACUACAGUAGGAGGAGUGAAGUUUAAAAUGUAUUUUCAGUUCCUCUGGUAUGUGUGUUAAAGCUGUUAAGCCUCAGAGAAUCAUCUGGAGUUGCACAUCUGGACAAUCUAUGCUAGCUGUAAGGAAAUUGUCAUUGUAGGCAUAAUUAUGUUUUUAAACAUGUUAAAGGGCUAGGCACUUAAAAACAUCAGUGUGCAAGUUUGAUUAAUUCAUGCUUUUUAUGUCGCUUUGAGGGUCACGGGCACACAACCUGCUUUGGGAGUCCAGCUUCAGUUAGCUGGUUUCAACAGCAGAAACAGAAGAAAUCAAAAUAUUUUGUCUUUUCUAACCCCAUUUAGUAGCCUGGUACUUCUUUUUCUGGAUCUCUUCAUACUGGUGAAGGGGUCGUACUCAAGUCCUCCAGUUUCUCAACUUUCACACAAAAGGUACUUCCCACCAUGGGGUUAAAACUUCAGAACUCAGUACUGUGCUUUUACUAAGUAUUGUAUGUGAAAGAAGAUUUUUCAGAGGACAAAAAGACAUGUUUUCACAGGGAUAUCUUCUUCCCUACAGAGACCAUCUAGAUGAAUAUUAUACCUUUGCACCAAAUCUGAAAAUGCUUGUUCUUAUUUAAACAGUUGGAAGAAUUUAUUUAAAAGCAGUCAGUUUAAACCAAUUUUGUUCUUGGAAAUGGCUAGGAUAUUUUGAAUGAAGUCUUCCUAAACAAUUCACCCUGAUUAUGAUGCUCAAAACGGAUUCUUCUGACCCAGAAAGUAACAGCUUGGCAGUGGUGUAAUUGGCGACAUUAUUUCCUAUAAUGGAAAGUGAACGGCAGCCUGAACUACAGAUACGUAUUGAGGUCACUCUGAAAGUAAUGCCUCCUGUUUAUUUCCAUGGAAACUACAACAGAUGCAAAGAGCACAGUAACACUAUUUGAUAGAGCAAACUCUUAGCUACAAAACACUAUUUUUCAACAUAGUCACCAUCAAUUAGCUGUGCAUUUUUGCUAGCGAUGAACAAGAGCCUGCAUGCCACCCUUACAAAAAUCUGCACCAGCAGAGGUGACCCACUGUUUCACAGCUGCUGUGAUGGCAUCAUCGCUAGGAAAAUGUUGCCCAAGCAGUCCAUCUUUCAUUGGCUUGAACAGAGAAAGUUAGAAGUUGCUGAAUCUGGAUUAUACAGUGGAUGUGGUCGGACAGUCUAACCAAGACUGGCAAUAUGUGGCCUUCAGACUGAUAUAGGGCCUGGCAUUAUUGUAUUACAAGAGAAAGAUUUCUUUCUUCUCUGGCCUGAUUCUGGAAGUUCAAGUCUUCAGCUCAGUCAGCUUUGUGAUGUAAUGGUCAGAGUUGAUGGUUUGUCUGGGUUCUGGGAAAUCCAGCAGGAUCGCCGCUUCCCUAUCCCAAAAGACAGUGCACGUCACUUUACCUGCUGAGGACUGCUUCUCACACUUUUUCUUCAGUGCGGAAUUCACACGUCACUACUUCCUGGGCUGCUGUUGUUAACUCUGGCUCAUAGUGGUAACAUCACAUCUCAUCACCAGUAAUGAUGUAAUCCAGGAGACCGUCCCCUUUCAGUCUCGUAUUGGUUCAGUAGGUCCUGACAAACUUGCAUAUGGUGUUCUUUCUGUUCCUGUAUGAGCAUUUGUGGGACAUACCUGGUGCAAACUUUGUGAUAUUUCAACAUUGCCACCAUCGUUUCCAACACACUGAAGCUGAUAUUCAGCUCUGUACACAGUUCACGAGUCAUAAUCUUGCCCCCACUGCCACCAGUUACACAGCAACAAAAUGUAAUGGUACACUGGCAAGAAGUUUCAACCUCUACUACCAUACCACCAAUGCUGGCCUCUGAUGUCAUAGACCAACAUAAUAAAUAGGAAGCAUUACUUAUGGAGCAGUCUCCAUCCUGUGUAAAUGUAAAUAUGUAAUUGUGAGCUAUAUGGAAACAGUUUUGUGAUCAUUACCUACAACCUGCAGUUAGCAACCAGAACUGCACAGCAACUGCUAUAAUGAUGUUAGAUAAUCAUAUUCACUGUGAUCCGAGCAGAUGUUAGGUUUGUGCGAGUCCUGCAUGCUGUCUGACAUAUUGUUCCCUCUUCUUGAUUUGAAUCCAUUGCCCUGAUAACCCUCCAGCUUCUGCUUUUUCCCCCACAGGCUAUACAAAUCUGCCUGGUUUCUCUCCAUGAAUGCUGGUUCUGGGAAAACACACAGCAGAGCAAAACCAGAGUUAUGUGAGCACUCCUGCUGUUACAGACAUCCAGUGUUGCCCCAGAUUUUUAUGCUAGUUAGAGAGAAUGUCUCACCUUGGGCUUUGUAACCCUCAGUGCUUCUCAGUAUGCUGUUCUAGGGCAGUAAUGUUCCAUGGUUGCUUACCCUGCAGAAUUAGCUGCAUUCUUUACAGGAAACAUGAUUUCAGUUUGAAAAAACAUUAGCAAAUGCCAAACAAAACAAAAUCCCUGUGGAAGUUCCUGUGAAUGCACUAAUCCAGGUUGUGCUUUAUUCCCUUGUCAUUUCUCUUUUUACCCUGCAUAUUUAUUAAGCACAUACAGCUUAACAUAAAGCAAAAAUGGACGAUGGUUCUGAUAUGUUUUGUGUGUAGUUUCAGUCUCAAGGAUAAGGGGAAUGUCUCCAACCCCCAUCUGCAACCUGCAGGCUUUUCUAAAAGUAAGUGGAAGAUUGCAGAUUGACAAGAUUGUGCCUCCCUUCCAGGCUAAACCAUCUGGACAGUAAUCAACUGGAUGCUGGGUGAUGCAAUAUGGAGGGACUAACCAGUAGGCAGGAGAGAUGGAAUGAGUGCUGACUACUAAACCAGCCAUCUCAGUGAUGAGGCAAUAGAGAUUGUGUGCACGAGAACGGGACUGAGUUCAUCCAUGCCUGGGACACCAUCAGUCUGUGAAUUUAAGAAGUUGCUGUUUACAAGGAGCAAUCCAAGGACUUACGCUGCUGAAGGUGACGGACCAGGAGAAUGAUGAUAACUUAAUAAGCCACAGUAACACAGCUGUACGCAUCAUAUGCUCCAAACUGGCUGUCCUUGCUCCACACCUGCAUGAUU
Molecule: long non-coding RNA, 3734 nt
Organism: Gallus gallus (chicken)
Lineage: Eukaryota; Metazoa; Chordata; Aves; Galliformes; Phasianidae
Exons: 4
Source: RefSeq, a predicted model, not a curated record